Molecule: ribosomal RNA, 483 nt
Filed under: Cornudiscoides sp. JV-2019
Lineage: Eukaryota; Metazoa; Platyhelminthes; Monogenea; Dactylogyridea; Ancylodiscoididae
Description: SSU rRNA
Rfam family: Eukaryotic small subunit ribosomal RNA (bases 1-281)
Source: RNAcentral
UGGACCCCUUGGGAUAUAUACUACACGGAUAACUGUAGUAAUUCUAGAGCUAAUACGUGCCUCGAUGCCCUGAUCCGCAAGGUGAGGGGUGCACUUAUUAGAUUACAGACCAAACGACUUCGGUCGUAGUUUGUGGUGACUCUGGAUAACUUUGUAUGAUCGCAGCUGGCCUUGUUGUCGGCGACGGAUCCAUCAAAUAUCUGCCCUAUCAACUUUCGAUGGUAGGAGACAUGCCUACCAUGGUUAUGACGGGUAACGGGGAAUCAGGGUUCGAUUCCGGAAAGGGAUUCCUCCAAACUUUUAAUUUAUCCAAGGGGGGGGACGACGCACUUCUUGCUAUUGCCAAGCUCUCCGUCGACUCCUCGUUUUUGAGGAGCAUAAACCUGAGAGGGAAACUCAACGCACGGGGUAAAGUAAAUGUCACAUAGUAGUGCGAGCCCAUAAACCAGAUCAAAUAAGAAUCACAGAUUGUCCAGGCGCCUU